GACAACAAAUAAGCUUAUUGGUUCAAAGUGAAAUAACUGUUGCUAUUGGUGUAAAACAUUCCAAGUCCCGCCUCCUCACUCAGGUUAGAGACGCAGUGGAGUGUGGAAAAAACGGAGAUUGAUGAGAGAGCAGCGGAGAAGCUAGAUUUACAGAGUGAUAUUAUUGCUACUUAUACUUGAUAUACUACUGAACAGAGAGAAGUAAAACUAUAUCUGAGCCAGUAAGAGCACCGUCACCUAUUGAAGCGACCUGAGAACAUCUGAGAGCAUCGUUUUAUUCUUUUAUUUUCUCGGCUAGGUUUUCUGGAUACCCUUGAACUCCGGAUUUGGAUUGGAAUCUCUCCCUGACGAGGGGGAUGGCGAGCUACCCAUGCUGAGCACCUGGAUUGAGGAGCGCUUUCAACUUUCAUCUACCUUGCUGUCAGUGUGGUAGGACUGUGAGGAAGGACCUCAAAAGACAAUUGGAUUUCAACAUUUUAUUUUGGGGAUUACUUUUAUUUUUUAGGGUGCACCCAGUUCAAUAUACAUGUCAAACUGAACAAAACUGAAUGCCGGCAGUAAUUGUGAAUUUAUUCUGUGUCAAUACAAUCAUUUUCCUUUAAACUUAA
This is a long non-coding RNA of Sebastes umbrosus (honeycomb rockfish), 608 nucleotides long. RefSeq lists it as uncharacterized. The transcript has 2 exons. NCBI's taxonomy places the organism in Eukaryota, Metazoa, Chordata, Actinopteri, Perciformes, Sebastidae. The record is from RefSeq and is a predicted model, not a curated record.